CUUCGGUUCUGAUGUUCUAGCGGCGGACGGGUGAGUAACGCGUGAGCAAUCUGUCCCAUACAGGGGGAUAACAGCUGGAAACAGCUGCUAAUACCGCAUGAGACCACAAUGUCACAUGACGAAGGGGUCAAAGGAGCAAUCCGGUAUGGGGUGAGCUCGCGUCCCAUUAGGUAGUUGGUGAGGUAACGGCCCACCAAGCCGACGAUGGGUAGCCGACCUGAGAGGGUGAUCGGCCACAUUGGGACUGAGACACGGCCCAGACUCC
Molecule: ribosomal RNA, 265 nt
Filed under: uncultured Eubacteriales bacterium
Lineage: Bacteria; Bacillati; Bacillota; Clostridia; Eubacteriales
Description: uncultured Clostridiales bacterium partial 16S ribosomal RNA
Rfam family: Bacterial small subunit ribosomal RNA
Source: RNAcentral